Molecule: long non-coding RNA, 211 nt
Filed under: Salvia miltiorrhiza (redroot sage)
Lineage: Eukaryota; Viridiplantae; Streptophyta; Magnoliopsida; Lamiales; Lamiaceae
Description: long non-coding RNA (SMIL_LNC003017)
Source: RNAcentral
AUGAACAAACUAAAUUGGGAUCGAGAAGCCAAAGAAAGAAUGGAAACGAAGGAGUGAGCCAAUAAAGAAACAAUCGCCGCCUUCACUUGCCCCCUCCUCGAAAUCUGACGGCCGUACUCCGUCCUCCGCCACGAAUUCCUCCUCGUCUCUCUGCCUCCUCCUUCCAUCUCUCCACUCCUCAAAUCGAACAAAUUUACUCUGCAAAUUAUUU